CUUGCUAAGUUUGAUGGCGACCGGCGCACGGGUGAGUAACACGUAUCCAACCUGCCCUUUACUCGGGGAUAGCCUUUCGAAAGAAAGAUUAAUACCCGAUGGCAUAGUUCUUCCGCAUGGUAGAACUAUUAAAGAAUUUCGGUCAUCGAUGGGGAUGCGUUCCAUUAGGUUGUUGGCGGGGUAACGGCCCACCAAGCCUUCGAUGGAUAGGGGUUCUGAGAGGAAGGUCCCCCACAUUGGAACUGAGACACGGUCCAAACUCCUACGGGAGGCAGCAUG
RNAcentral lists this ribosomal RNA (279 nucleotides) under uncultured bacterium. RNAcentral's name for it is "partial 16S ribosomal RNA". It matches the Rfam family "Bacterial small subunit ribosomal RNA", at positions 76 to 353 of the family's 1533-position model. The record is from RNAcentral.